UGACAUUUUAAUUUUCCCAGCAUUUAUUCUGGGCAGGUGUGAGCAGAUAUGUGUCCUCAGGGGUGUGCAAGGAUGAGGGUGUGCGUAUUUGCCAUGGUUAGGGUUCAUAAUUGGGGGGCUGGUACUGCCCCCAGAUAAGGCCCUUGGAAUCCAGGUCUGGGACACUCAGUACACGGAGAAGCCUGUGUCUCCGAGCAUCCAUGCCAGGUAGAGCAUCAUCACCGGGUCACAGAGGUGGAGGCGAUGGUACUCUUGAGCCUCUUCAAUGCGUGCAUGUGAUGCUGAGGUUCAGGCAGAGGAUCAUACAGAGCGGCUGAGGCAGAGCUUGGUUCGGAUCCAGGUGCGCUGCCCCCUGAGGGCUGUUCCACAGCGGCUUGCUGAACCAGGGUCAAUUAGGAGGCGUUGGGGGAAACACGAGGAGAUGAUGCAUUACCAGCAAAUCUGCUGCCAAGGAACAAAGAACAGAGAAAUGAGAGCAUCCUCGAGCUCAGCCAUUGGAGACAGAAUGAAAGGCAGAUUUACCUGCAAGAGCAGCUGAUAUUUUUACUGCAAACCUCCUCCAAGCAGGCUGUGAGGUUUGGAAUGCGCGUGCCCUGCAAGCUGCACACAGCAAUCCUCCAGGCGGCCACGGCUGGGUCCUCGCAGCCUCCACGCACGCAGAAUACUAAACACACCCCGGGAGUUCCCGAUGCGGCCACCUGGUUACGGCCCUGCCCACGCUUGUCUGCAGCAAUUGCUCUCUGGGAGAGGCUUCACGCAUAUCUGUUCCCGAGCAUCUGUAGACAGUGUUCGCAAAGCACAGCUCCGUAUGGGAAAAUAUGAGCCGCCAGCAAAUCAUCUUCAUGGGGGCAGGAACAUCGCCAGGUGGAAAAUAUUGCUCCGAUGACUUCCGCGUAAGGAAAGAACCAGCUGAGAUAGCUAUAGUGCUAUGGCUUCCAUUUCCAAUAAAGCAAAAGCCUUUCAAGAAGCCCUUCCA
This 976-nucleotide long non-coding RNA is filed under the name Vulpes vulpes (red fox). RNAcentral's name for it is "lncRNA (ENSVVUG00000023691.1)". Lineage: Eukaryota; Metazoa; Chordata; Mammalia; Carnivora; Canidae. The record is from RNAcentral.